GGGAUGUGAUGAGUGGUCAAUGCUCGCUAUGAUGCGAGUGGGGUGUCCAGCCCACGCCUGGUUACGACAAUAUGGGCACCCUCACUUAUACCGAUCUGAUCCC
This is a small nucleolar RNA of Cornus florida, 103 nucleotides long. RefSeq annotates it as small nucleolar RNA Z279/snoR105/snoR108. NCBI's taxonomy places the organism in Eukaryota, Viridiplantae, Streptophyta, Magnoliopsida, Cornales, Cornaceae. The transcript has a single exon. The record is from RefSeq and is a predicted model, not a curated record.